RNAcentral lists this ribosomal RNA (515 nucleotides) under Ruminococcus sp. M22. RNAcentral describes it as "bacterial SSU rRNA". It matches the Rfam family "Bacterial small subunit ribosomal RNA", at positions 8 to 521 of the family's 1533-position model. Lineage: Bacteria; Bacillati; Bacillota; Clostridia; Eubacteriales; Oscillospiraceae. The record is from RNAcentral.
AGAGUUUGAUCCUGGCUCAGGAUGAACGCUGGCGGCGUGCCUAACACAUGCAAGUCGAGCGAAGCACUUUACUUUGAGAUCUUCGGAAGGAAAAGUUUUGUGACUGAGCGGCGGACGGGUGAGUAACGCGUGGGUAACCUGCCCCAUACAGGGGGAUAACAGUUAGAAAUGACUGCUAAUACCGCAUAAGACCACAGCACCGCAUGGUGCAGGGGUAAAAACUCCGGUGGUAUGGGAUGGACCCGCGUCUGAUUAGCUAGUUGGUGAGGUAACGGCCCACCAAGGCAACGAUCAGUAGCCGACCUGAGAGGGUGACCGGCCACAUUGGGACUGAGACACGGCCCAAACUCCUACGGGAGGCAGCAGUGGGGAAUAUUGCACAAUGGGGGAAACCCUGAUGCAGCGACGCCGCGUGAGCGAAGAAGUAUUUCGGUAUGUAAAGCUCUAUCAGCAGGGAAGAAACUGACGGUACCUGACUAAGAAGCACCGGCUAAAUACGUGCCAGCAGCCGCGGU